AAGUGGAGAGGGAGUCCUACUCGUCUUCUUCAACCUCCCAUCCUUGUGAGCAUCGUACAUGAAUCUCAAGCUCUGCAAAAUCGACUCCCUCCGCAUACCAGCCGGACUCAACACAACCUCAUCAUCACUAUCCUCCUCAUCCUUAUAGGUGUUCCGUGUUUUCGCCAUAGGGUGCUCCGCCUCUUCCUCCUCCGUAUUCCUUGCUCUCUUCCUUGACUCCUUAUCCUAAAUAAACAGGCAAAUCCAGACAUUUAGGUAAACUUCCUAGGCGGCGGAUUAUUCCGAUAGCUAAAGGGUAUAGAGAUAGAAGCAAAUCAAUAAAGAUUGAAUUGGAUUGGUUCGGUUGUUUAGAUGUAUUAGAUAACAAAUUAGGGGUUUGAGAAAUAUAAGGAGAUGACGAGAGAGAGAGAGAGCGAACCUGUUGCCCGGAAUGGUCUGUCGUACCCACCUUCAUCUUCGGCGGCUCUUCUUUCGCCCAUCAAACAAUCGAAAUUGAUACAAUACAGCAGAGUGAGAAGAGACAAGCUUCAAUUUGCAUCUGCGAUUUCGCUUCAACCUAUUUUGCCUAUUUCACGAUUUUCUCUCUCUGUUUUUUUUUUUUUAACAGGUCACGGUUUUAUCUCUUCCGGUAUUCUAUCCAAAACUACGAAGUGCCCGAACUACAAAAUUUCAGUUUUCAACAAAAUUAUUAAGGGUAUUUCCCUUUUUUUUUUAUAAUUUUUAAGAAAUCAAAAUAGUCUUUAGCUGUAUUAAUUUAGUCAAUUUGACCAUUAUAGUUCAAAUUUUCAAAAACCUAAUUUUUGCCCUUGAUUUAUUAAAUAUACAAAAUUACUAGGAAAUACAUCAAUAAUCAACUAUUUACCACCCAAACCUAGUCUCUAGCGUCAUAGCUCGGGUCUGAAUCGAGCACCGCAUCGACUCACCAGUGAAGCUGGCUUAUUCUCUGAUAGUGUUUGAAUUUUGUGAAGAUAACGAUAGAAUUGGUAGACCGCUUACAUGGUAGUUUCUUUUAGGUCGUUUUUGAGCUAUCUAACAUGACUUCAUUCUCUUGGCCCUGCGGGUCAUGUUGUAAUUGCCUUUUUCAUUUUGGUUAUCAAAGGCUUCCCAUAUGGUGUAGGUCGCGAUGAGUAAAGCAAGUGCCUCCAAAGCAGGCCACACAAAGUGUAGAAAUUAGCCCAAAACAACUUGCUAAAAACCCAAAACAAGACUUCAACCCAGGCCAACAAGAAGAAAGAGAGAUGGGCAUGCACCAAAAUUCACCCAGCCCACCCAAGUGCAUGUUGCGCAAGACCACCAAUAACUCGAGCAUAACAAUAUGGUCUUAGAUGUGGUAUUACAAGAUCAGUGUUGUCUAGUGAGUGGUAGCCAAGCGAGGAGCAUAAAGCGUCAUCAACAGUGAGAGAAAACAACUUGUGUCUCACAUUCCAAUUAGAAAGACAUGUCAGAAUAACUUGAAUAAACUUGUGGUUCCUGUAUGAAUCAGAUGGUAAGGGGGAAACAUUAAGGAUCCGAUGAUGUAUAUUCCAGUCAGCAUCAUCAAUGAAGUGUCCUGUUAAGACCAUAUAAUAAUCCUGGCUCUGAUGGCUUGAGCUAGCCCACAAGUUGACUGAAAGACUGAUCUUGGAGUUCAUGGAAGCGAUAAGUUUGCAGAUGCUUUGCUCCUUUGAUUUAUACACAGCCAAACACUGAUGUUCAAUAUUUUCGGGAGGGGGUUCGCUGAUAACAUAGUUUAGCUUUAGCAUGCACACUUCUUGAUCGAUCAGGGGAGAUGGAGUAACAAUCUGUCUGGACGGAACUAGAGAGGGAGUGCUCCUCUUCUUCAACCUCCCAUCCUUAUGAGCUGCAUACAUAAACCUUCAACUCUUCAUAAUCGACUCCCUCCUCAUAGCAGACAGACUUAACACAAUCUCAUCAUCACUAUCGUCAACUUCAUCAUCAUCCUUAUAUGAUUUUUGUAUCUUGGUAAUGUGGUACUUCCCCUCCUCCUCCUCAUCCCUUGCACUCUUCCUUGACUCAUCCUAAACAAACCGGCAUUAUUCAGAACUACAAAAUCUAGAAAUUCAAGGUAAACCGUAAAUUAACCUUCCUUAAGCAUGAACAAGAUUAUUGCGAGAAUUAAAUAGAUAUAUAAUCAAAUAAAAUGAAUCGCAUGGGUUUGGUUUUAUGUAUAUUAUUAAUUUUUUAUACACAAUUAGGGUUAGAGUACAACGUUCUAGUCGUUUAGAGAUCUAAACGGAGACGUUUAGAGAUCUAAACGGAGAGAGAGAACCUGUUGGCCGGACUUGUACGUCGGUUGCAUCUUCACCUUCAGCUUUUUGCUCGCUCUGACCGAUCAAACAAUCGAAAUUGAUACAAUACCAAAAAGAUGGUGAUAGGGCCGAUCUGCUUUGAGGGGUUCGUAGCGGAAAAAGAUUGGGACCUUCGUAUUUAUGUAAAAAUAUACUGCCGCUGUAUGUAUAUAUAAGAACCUUCAUGAGAUUGAUAGAUAACAUACGAGAGAGAAAAUCCUAAAAAAAAGAAAGAAAGAGAAAAUAAGGAUGUUUACAUCCCACACUUAUUUAGGAAUAAGGAUUAUGUGUAGUUUAUAAUUUUAUAUGCAGGAUAGAAUACAUUGUUUAUUUUUCUAAUUUAUUAAUUUUUUUGUUAUUUACAAUUAAGUGUGGCUAUUGAGACCUCUAAAUUUGCUCAAUAUUCUCUCAACACCUCCAUUUUACUUUUACAUACAAACAUUUGCUCAUUAAACCUUGUUUCAAAUUUCUGAAAUAGUCUUUUUAUGUAAUUCACAUAUAUUUUAGGGCAUGUUUACUAACUUGGAAUCAAAUUAAUAUAUUACUCAUUACACAUCUUACUCGCUCACUAGGUCUCCUAUUUUUUUUUCUUUUUCAUGCAAACCUCCAUUUCUUGAUUUUAUUUAUUUAUUUAUUUUUGGAUCAAAUUAUAAGAAAUAAUUUUCAAUGACAUCAAUUUCAGAGAAUCAUCAAAAGUACUUUUAUCUUAAAAAAGAAAAGAAAAAAGAAACAAGGUAUUGUGUCACAAAAUUAUUUUCUAUCGAUCAUCGAAAGAAUGUUCUUAUUACAUCCAUUUUUUUCUUUUCUGUUUUACAUAUAUAUACAUAUUCUUCGUUUAUAUUUUUUUUGUUCUCUACGUUUAUAUUUUUUUUGAAAGUUCUCUCUACGUUUAUAUGGUAAAUUAUUUUACUUUAUUUUUUUAAGUAAUUGAUAGAUCAUGCUUUGUGUAAAAAUACUUUUUCACCUUGCAUAUGCGUGCAACAUGUAUGACCGAUAACAUAAUUUUUUCUGUCACAGGAUCAAUAUUACUCAUAAUUUUAGUUCUUAUUAUAUAUAUACUAUAUAUAAAUGGUUUAAUAAGGAUGCAGUAAAAUUAGAAAAUGAAAAUUAAUAAUAAAAUAAUAAAUGCAAUCCACUAUUAUUGAAUUGAAAAGUCUAGAAAGAUCAAAAUAAUAUUUCAUUUUAUAUAUAUAAUUAUUGCCUUUAAUAGUCAUUUUUUUAAGAGUAAAUGACCAUUUACUACUAAUUUAACUUAUUUUAGCCAAUUUCAAUGAAAAUCUCUUUACCAACCUCAUUCCAAUGAAUUUUAAUAAAAUGACGUCAUUACCCUUGACCUCAUUUAACUCUCUUUCUCUGUUUCUCACUUUCUCCUCUCUUUAUCCCGAUCAAAAACUCUCUCUCUCUCUCUCUCACACAUCAGGCAUCGCCGACGACGGUCGAGAUCGAGCAGCCUCCGAUGAGUCGCUCCACCACAUCCUCUGAAAGGUCUAACAGCCUCGUCGCUGUCUGUCGGCAUGGGAUCCGAAUCCGAUCACAAAGACCAGGCCGACACUGACGAGAAAAAGAGCGGCGGCGGAUGACGGAGGUAGGGAGACAACGAUCUCCUCGACGGUAGACUUGGUGAGGAUGGAGAUGUUGCCGUCGGCAGCGUAGUGCUACAGAGAUUGGAGAAGGUGUGGCCGAAUCUGUGAAGGUUUAGAGUGAAGUGACUGACAAUCUCCUCGGCGGCGGAUUGCUGCAGAGAUGCCGGAUCUGUGAAGGUUUUAAGUGAAGCGACGUUUACUACCCCUAGUACCCCUAGUAAAAGUUUACUAAGGGUAGUAAACUUUAUUUUUUCGCAUCUAAAUUGAUUUUUCUCCUUUUAAAUGUGAAUUAUGGCAUUGGAGCUACUGUUUUGCAAGUUUACUACCCCCAGUACUUUUACUGGGGGUAGUAAACUUUAUUUUUUCGCAUCUAAGUUGAUUUUUCUCCUUUUAAAUAUGAAUUAUGGCAUUGGAGCAACUGUUUUGCAAGUUUACUACCCCCAGUAAAGUUUACUAGGGGUAGUAAACUUUAUUUUUUCGUAUUUAAGUUGAUUUUUCUCCUUUUAAAUGUGAAUUAUGGCAUUGGAGCUACUGUUUUGCAAGUUUACUACCCCCAACAGAAGUUUACUAGGGGUAGUAAACUUCAUUUUUCUGCAUCUAAGUUGAUUUUUCACUGUUUUAAGAUGUAUAAUGGUCAUGGAGAAACUUUAUUUUGAGUUUACUACCCUCCGCGUACCAGCCGGACUCAACACAACCUCAGCAUCACUAUCCUCCUCAUCCUUAUAGGUGUUCCGUGUUUUCGCCAUAGGGUGCUCCGCCUCUUCCUCCUCCGUAUUCCUUGCUCUCUUCCUUGACUCCUUAUCCUAAAUAAACAGGCAAAUCCAGACAUUUAGGUAAACUUCCUAGGCGGCGGAUUAUUCCGAUAACUAAAGGGUAUAGAGAUAGAAGCAAAUCAAUAAAGAUUGAAUUGGAUUGGUUCGGUUGUUUAGAUGUAUUAGAUAACAAAUUAGGGGUUUGAGAAAUAUAAGGAGAUGACGAGAGAGAGAGUGAACCUGUUGCCCGGAACGGUCUGUCGUACCCACCUUCAUCUUCCGCGGCUCUUUUUUCGCCGAUCAAACAAUCGAAAUUGAUACAAUACAGCAGAGUGAGAAGAGACAAGCUUCAAUUUGCAUCUGCGAUUUCGCUUCAACCUAUUUUGCCUAUUUCACGAUUUUCUCUCUGUUUUUUUUCCUUUUUUUUUUUUUUUUAACAGGUCACGGUUUUAUCUCUUCUGGUUUUCUAUCCAAAACUACGAAGUGCCCGAACUACAAAAUUUCAGUUUUCAACAAAAUUAUUAAGGGUAUUUCCCUUUCUUCUUUUUUUUUAUAAUUUUUAAGAAAUCAAAAUAGUCUUUAGCUCUAUUAAUUUAGUCAAUUUGACCAUUAUAGUUCAAAAACCUAAUUUUUGCCCUCGAUUUAUUAGAUAUACAAAAUUACUAGGAAUAGCUCGGAUCUGAAUCGAGCACCAGUGAGGCUGGCUUAUUCUCUAAUGGUGUUUGAAUUUGGUGAAGGUAACGAUCGAAUUGGCAGACCGCUUACAUGGUAGUCUCAUUUAGGUCGCUUUUGAGCUAUCUACCAUGGCUUCAUUCUCUUAGCCCUUGCAUGCGGGUCAUGUUCUAAUUGCCUUCUUCAUUUUAGUUAUCAAAGGCUUCCCAUAUAGUGUAGGUCGCAAUGUCCAAAGCAAGCCACACAAAGUGUAGAAAUUAGCUCAAAACAACUUGCUAAAAACCCAAAACAAGACUUCAACCCAGGCCAACAAGAAGAAAGAGAGACGGCCUGCACCAAAAUUCACCCAGCCCACACCCACAAACUCCAGAAACCUAGCCAGCCGCCAGAGCCGGCUAACAUCGCCAAAUCAGUCUAGCGGUCUUCAAGAUCAUGGGCUCGUGGCCUUCAACACAGCUGUAAAGACACAAUAGCUCGCCACCACACUCUAAAUCCGCCUACUUCGAUUAUGGCUAUCCGCUUCUCUACUCUACAAGGUCUACUUUCUUCUUCCUUCCAGUCACUUCCUCAGAUUCUGGAUCCCUCUCUCAGGUUCGUCGAUCCUCUCAAGUUUCUUAUCUCAUUGGGCUUUAGUAUUAGUAUAUUAUGGCUCCACCUGAGCGAAAUUUUUCCAAUGUAUCACCACAAUUGUAAAACGUAGCAAUAAAUGCACCAUUUAUGGAGAGUCACAUUAUUAUCUCGAGAUAUUCUAUCUAUACUUAGUGUAAUUUUGAAUUAUGUGAAUUCAUUAAUGCUCAAGGUUUGAGCAGUCGUACUAUCCCUUUUUCUAUAAUAAAAAAGUUAUAAUUUUUAAGGUUCUAAGUAAGAUUAAAGAUUAAUAGCUUUUAACUCUAUUAAUCUAGUCAAUUUGACCGUUAUAGUUUAAACUUUAGACUUUCAAAAAUCUAAUUUUUUCCCUUGUUUUAUUAAAUACGAAGUUGCUAGGAAAUACAACAAUAAUCAACUAUUUACCACAACUAAGUCCAGUAAUUGUAUUCCCAUGCCGACCUCAUGCGCACAUAUUCUUCCUUUUAUAUCUUUUUAUGUUGAGAAAAAUUUAGUCCCUAAACUCAGGCAAGGUGAAGUUGAUACUUAUCUUAGAAACACUGUUUUGUUCAGUUGACAUAAUUGUCAUCAAAAUAAACUGAUAGAGGAAACAGGUUAGCUCAAAAUAAACUGGAUAACUUCAAUAUGAAACUAUCACAUAUAAUGGUUUCUGUGUGUACUUGCUCAAACUUCAGUCCAUAAUACUGUAGUACUAUGCCAAAACCCAAAACACGGAUAAAGAUUUUCAGUUACCUUGUGGCUGAACUUAUUCAAAGCAACCUCUCUUUUUGACACAUGAUUUUGGUCAACUCCACUUUUGCUCCCAACUCCAAUUGUGCUGAUAGUUCCUUCUUUUUCCCCUUCAGAAUCUAUGGGAGAGCCACUCAUUUUCUGUUCACCACUACUAGAGUUGUUUCCUGGGUACUCACUCCCAUGCAAACUGUGAUUACCAACAUUCCCUUCUAUCUUUACAACCAUCGCAUCAGAUGGUCCAAAGUAUGGAGCUUCCACUGCCAUAUUUUGUUCCAGAAAACUCGUUAGGAUUGAGAAUAUGCUGGUGCCGGGGGAUGCUAUGCACAUGGUGGUGAUGGUGCUCCACCUGGACCUGCUGAUGUUUGAUUGUGGAUUUCGGUUCUGGUUUUUCCUCAAAUGGCUUUUGUUCCGCAAGGAAAUCAAAUAUUGUCGAGUCCAGUCACUGUUGUUACUGCAGUCUUUGGAAUGAUAAAGGGGAGUGCUGUUUAAGUGACACUGAAAAACAGGAACCGAUUUGGCCUUCUCCUCCUCCGAGUUACUAUCUGUCUAUCUUGUGGAGAGUGACUAACAGGUUUCACACCUCCAGCCUGAUUAGAAGACGCAGGAAAACUGUACCUGCAUAACGCAAAAAACAUUCAAUUCGGAUCACAUAUAGGAUUUAUAUAUAGUAUGGAAUUACUGAUUCACUUUCUGAGUAGCUGCAUACCUUGAGGGGGCUGAAAGGUCUAAAUGUGUCAAAUCAUUUUGGUCUUGGUCACUGAAGCCAGUAUCUUGAGCAUCUGUCUGUGUCUUUAAACUGAGCUCAAGGGAAGCAAUUUCAUUGCUCUCAUUGAUGUCCUUAUCUCUUAUGCCGGGAACUUUGGAGACACUACUCGAGAUGUUUAACAUACCUGCUAAAAAUCAAGAUCAAUCAUAGUAAAACUUGAAAAGCAAGUAAAGAAGAUGGCACAAAGAGAAAACAAGAAAAAGGAAUACUGAAAUUGAUUAUUGUACAGAAGAGGAUUUCUUGCGUGAAUGAGAUACAUGGAAGAGCAGCCAUUUAUACUCAAAUGAGUAAAGACUGGAAAAGUAGGUUAGAAUAGCAUCUGACUUGGGCUUGUUGGGCUCAACAAAACUAUGGGUUGGGCUGAACAAGGCCUAAACCAUCUUAACAUCCCCCCUCAAACUAGUGUUGGGGGAUCCAAGAACUAGUUUGCAGUAAAGUUUCCUCUGUUAUGAGUGUAUCAACCCGGAGGAAUAAGGAAAAGUGAUCUCCAAAGCUUCAUAGGAUGAGAGACUUGCAACUGAGGAUCAGUGAUACUGUUGGUGGUGAUACCUAUCAGAUCAAUUCCUUGGUUUUCCAAGCACUUAUUUGGUUUUCAUUGUUGAGCUCCACUUGGCCUUUUUUUAGAUUAUCGUGAUUUUUCAGUGACUUGAUUCUAAAAAGUUUGUCUUUAUUAGUGACAACUAUGUUGAUCAUGCCUUUCUCCUUUGGUUCUUCAAGCUGCAGAUUUGGAAUUUUAGGAACUCCAAAACCCAAGUCUGUUCCUGUGAUAAUAGCACCUAAAGAUUGGAAAAGAGGGAAAAAUAUAGACAAGUAGACUUAAUUACCUACCAAGCUCUUCAUUCUGCCGUCCACACUCCCUUGUUGGACAUUGUGCUUGUUGGAGAAAGUAGAGCUUUAACAACCAUUCAGCCUCGUAGUAGCUUUUAACAACGAAUUCGUUAGCAUUUUGUAGGUCUUUCCAUAAAACAAUGUUAUGAGUCCUAUGAAUGAUCUAUCGAAAAACGAAGCUGAAUAUAUUAUAGAAAAUUUCACAACAGUCCUCUUUUCAAUAUUUUUUCCCUUAUAGAUCCACCUUGAACUUUUUACCCACAUAAGUCCACAUUUUGAUCCAAACCCAUCCGUUUAUUUUUUUCUAUACCUAAAUUACCCUCCCCUCCCUCUUUUCCCCAAAUCAGUUUCUCUGGUUCUCUCUCCCCUCCCUCCUUUCCCCAAAUCACUCACUCUCUCUCUCUCUC
Molecule: long non-coding RNA, 8634 nt
Filed under: Fragaria vesca (wild strawberry)
Lineage: Eukaryota; Viridiplantae; Streptophyta; Magnoliopsida; Rosales; Rosaceae
Description: long non-coding RNA (FVES_LNC003795)
Source: RNAcentral